GGAUUAGAUACCCUGGUAGUCCACGCCCUAAACGAUGGAUACUAGAUAUUUAACUUUUACAGUUAAGUGUCCCAGCGAAAGCGGUAAGUAUCCCACCUGGGGAGUACGCUCGCAAGGGUGAAACUCAAAGGAAUUGACGGGGGCCCGCACAAGCGGUGGAGCAUGUGGUUUAAUUCGAUGAUACGCGAGGAACCUUACCUGGUCUAGAAUGCGCGUGACCGGUCCAGAAAUGGACUCUUCCUUCGGGACACAAAGCAAGGUGCUGCAUGGUUGUCGUCAGCUCGUGCCG
RNAcentral lists this ribosomal RNA (289 nucleotides) under uncultured bacterium. RNAcentral's name for it is "partial 16S ribosomal RNA". It matches the Rfam family "Bacterial small subunit ribosomal RNA", at positions 775 to 1067 of the family's 1533-position model. The record is from RNAcentral.